This 97-nucleotide small nucleolar RNA is filed under the name Aureobasidium pullulans EXF-150. Its description in RNAcentral is "A. fumigatus snoRNA Afu_300". It matches the Rfam family "A. fumigatus snoRNA Afu_300". Lineage: Eukaryota; Fungi; Ascomycota; Dothideomycetes; Dothideales; Saccotheciaceae. The record is from Rfam by way of RNAcentral.
UUUUCUGAUGAACAAUUUGAACGUUUAUAUACGCUGGAAAUUACCGACCAAGCUCUCUUCUGGAGGCGGUGCCGAUAUCAAAUGGCUAUUUCUGAGU